AGCUGCGUUUGGGUCCCCUUCGAUGGUGUUGGGGUUUUGUUGUUUCGCUCUUUGCAAUAAAUUUUGCUGUUGCUCACCUUUUAGGUCCACACUACCUUUAUGAGCUUUAACACUCACAGUGAAGGUCUGCAGGUUCACUCCUGUAAACCAGCGAGACCAGGAAGCCACCACAAGAAACAACUCUGGAGCCGCCACCUUUAAGAGCCAUAACACUCACUGUGAAGGUCUGUGGCUUCACUCCUGAAGUCAGCGACACCACGAACCCACAGGGAGGAGCAAACAACUCCAGACGCACCACUUUUAAGAGGUGUAACACUCCCUGCGAAGGUCUGUGGCUUCACUCCUGAGGUCGGCGAAACUACGAACCCGCUGGGAGGAAGGAACAACGCGGAUGCGCCACCUUUAAGAGCUGUAACACUCCCUGCGAAGGUCCGCGGCCUCACUCAUCAAGUCGUGCAUAGACCACGAACUCUCUAGAAAGAAAAAACUUCGGACACACCUGAACAUUUGAAGGAACAAACUCCGGACACACCAUGUUUAAGAACUAUAAUGCCGUGAAGGUCCGCGGCAGGACCGGGACCAGGAACUCUUCAGAGGGAACCAAUUCCGGAUACACAGCUUCGUGGAAUGGUUCUGCACUGUGUGUGUGUGUGUUUCCCGUCAACCCUGUGCACACUAUUAGAAGAACACAAGCGUUAAGGCUCCCUCUCAGUCCUGCCGAUGGAAGACAUUGUGAUUUUGACCUUGUUGGAUGCUGCACCUGAAGGUGGAGGAAGAGGAAGAGCCUUGGGGGCUACCAUUCUGGCUGGAGAAGCGGCACGAGGCUCCCUCUUGUGGAUGCAGCAAGGUAAGAAAGUAAAGUGGAUGUUCUCCUCUGGAGCAAGCGGCCUCCGACUCUGCCUGUGGACUGAAACUCGCACUUGCAUGCUGUGGCUUAGCUGAGGGCUUGUAGCUCAGGACAGAGGCAGUGAUGGUGACAAAAGCAGGGGAGUGAUACGGGAGAGGUAUAGCCCCAGCCCCAGGACACAGCAGAUCUCAAUAUUGGGAAGGGAGGAGUUCAGUAUCAGUAAAGUGAGCCAUAAGAGAGACAGGAAAGCAGCCUUUGCAGACAGAGGUGGAACCAAUUGAAAGGAGGAGGGGAGCUCCUUGCAAAGAACGUUGCAGGUAGCAUCUAGAGGCUGUGGGGAUCAUUCUUAGGCCAUCCAAGAACUCUGAGAAGAUUGGGGGGAAGCUGGAAUUUCACUGUGGUUGCUAGGAUGGGCUCAAGCCCGAGGCUAUUUUUAUUUAAAUGCCAUUAUUUUUGUUUUUAUUUUUUGAUAUUAACCCUGUCAGGUUAGUGAGCCUAGAGAAUACCUGUUAUAAAUGAAAUAUAAUUCUGAAAUGUUAAUGUGUGGGAAGGAACAAGUAAGGCUUGAGAAAUAUAACCUGGGCAUGUAAUGAUGCUAGAGAACUUACAGUCUUUGCCUGAAAGUUCUGGAUGCACAAAAGUCCCUUAUUGUCAUUUUAUUUAUUUACUUAGUUCUUACUGAGAUUGAGACAGUCUUACUGUAUAAUGCCUAAAGAUCUCAGGUAAGAGUGAUACUAGCUUUUUUUCCCUAUUAGUUUCUUUUUCUUUUCUUUCUUUUUUUUUUUCUUUUUGUUUUGGAGACGGAGUCUCACUUUUUCGCCCAGGCUGGAGUGCAGUGGCGCUAUCUCGACUCACUGCAAGCUCCGUCUCCUGGGUUCACGCCACUCUCCUGCCUCAGCCUCCUGAGUAGCUGGGAUUACAGGUGCCCGCCACCGCGCCCGGCUAAUUUUUUGUAUUUUUAGUAGAGACGGGGUUUCACCGGUUAGCCAAGAUGGUCUCGAUCUCCUGACCUCGUGAUCCGCCCACCUUGGCCUCCCAAAGUGCUGGGAUUACAGGCAUGAGCCACCGCGCCUGGCCUUUUUUUUUUUUUUUUUUUGACACAGAGUCUCACUCCGUCGGCCAGGCUGGAGUGCAGUGGCACGAUCUUGGCUCAUUGCAACCUCCACCUCCCAGACUCAAGCAAUUCUCCUGCCUCAGCCUCCCGAGUAGCUGGGAUUGCAGGUGUGUGCCACCAUGCCCGGCUAAUUUUUGUAUUUUUCGUAGAGACAGGGUUUCACCAGGUUGGCCAGGCUGGUCUCAAACUCCUGACCUCAGGUAAUCCACCCCCCUCGGCCUCCCAAAGUGCUGGGAUUACAGACGUGAGCCAUCAUGCCCAGCCUAGUUUCUUUUAAAAAAAAAAUUAUUUUAUUUCCAUAGAUUAUUGGGGAGCAGGUGGUGUGUGGUUACAUGAGUAAGAUCUUUUUUUUUUUUUUUUUUUUUGAGACGGAGUCUUGCUCUGUUGCCCAGGCUAGAGUGUAGUGGCGCGAUCUCGGCUCACUGCCAGCUCCACACCUCGGGUUCACGCCAACUCUCCUGCCUCAGCCUCCUGAGUAGCUGGGACUACAGGGGCCCGCCACCACACCCAGCUAAUUUUUUGUAUUUCUUGUAGAGAUGGGGUUUCACCAUGUUAGCCAGGAUGGUCUCGAUCUCCUGACCUCGUGAUCCACCUGCCUCAGCCUCCCAAAGUGUUGGGAUUACAGGCAUGAGCCACUGCACCUGGCCACAUAAGUAAGAUCGUUAGUGGUGAUUUGUGAGAUUUUGGUGGACGCAUCGCCUGAGCAGUAUACACUGCACCCAAAUUGUAGUCUUUUAUUCAUCACUCCCUUCCCACCCUUUUUCCCUGAGUCCCCAAAGUCCACUGUGUCAUUCUUACGUCUCUGUAUCCUCAUAGCUUAGCUCCCACGUAUGAUCGAGAACAUACAAUGUUUGGUUUUCCAUUCCUGAGUUACUUCACUAAGAAUAAUAGUCUCCAAUCUCAUCCAGGUUGCUGUGAAUGCCAUUAAUUCAUUCCUGUUUAUGGCUGAGUAGUAUUCCAUUGUAUAUGUAUACUGCAGUUUCUUUAUCCACUCACUGAUUGAUGGGCAUAUGGGUUGGUUCCACAUUUUUACAACUGAGAAUUGUGCUGCUAUAAACAUAUGUGUGCAAGCAUCCUUUUCGUGUGAUGACUUCUUUUUCUCUGGGUAGAUACCCAGUAGUGGAUACCCUAAUAUGUUUUCCAAACUCUUAGAUUUCUCUUCUUCUUAGGAAUGCCGAUUAUUCUUUGGUUUGCUCAUUUAACAUAAUCCCAGACUUCUUGGAGGCUUUGUUCAUAUUUUCUUAUUCUUUUUUCUUUGUCUUUGUUGGAUUAUUUUGAAAACCUUGUCUUUGAGCUCUGAGGUUCUUUCUCCUGCUUAUUCGCUUCUAUUGCUGAGACUUUCCAGAGCAUUUUGAAUUUCUAUAACUGCAUCCGUUGGUUCCUGAAGUUUUGAUUGCUUUUUAUUAUAUGCUACCUAUUUCAUUGAAAAUUUCUCCCCUUACUUUUUGUAUUUUUUUUUUAUUUCCUUAAAUUGGGCUUUGCCUUUUUCUGGCACCUCUUUGAUUAGCUUAAUAACUGACCUUAUGAAUUCUUUUUCAGGUAAAUCAGGGAUUUUUUUUGGUUGGAUCCAUUGCUGGUGAGCUAGUGUGAUUUUUUUGGAGGGUAUUAAAGAGCCUUGUUUUCUCAUAUUACCAGAGUUGGUUUCCUAGUUCCUUCGCAUUUGGGUAGGCUCUGUCGGAGGGAAGGUCUAGGGCUCGAGGCUGUUGUUCAGAUUCUUUUGUCCCACAGGGUGUUCCCUUGAUGUAGUACCCUCCGCCUUUUCCUAGGGAUGUGGCUUCCUGAGAUCUGAGCUGUCGUGAUUAUUAUCUCUCUUCUGAAUUUAGUCACCCAACAGGUCUACCAGGCUCUGGGCUGGCACUGGGAGUUGUCUGUACAGAGUCUUGUGAUGUGAACCAUCUGUGGGUCUCUCAGCUGUGGAUACCAAUGCCUGCUGUGGUGGAGGUGGUGGGGGGUGAAAUGGACUCUGUGAGGGUCCUUAGUUUUGGUGGUUUAAUGCACUAUUUUUGAGCCGGUUGGCUUCCUGCUGGGAGGUGGCACUUUCCAGAGAGCAUCAGCUGUGGUAGUAUGGGAGGGAUCAGGCGGUGGGUAGGGCCCUAGAACUCCCAAGAGUAUAUGCUGUUUGUCUUCAGCUACCAGGGUGGGUAGGGAAGGCCCAUUAAGUGGGGGCAGUGCUAGGCAUGUCUGAGUUCAGACUCUCCUUGAGUGGGUCUUGCUUGUGGGGGAUGGAGGUGUGGUUCGCAGGUCAAUGGGGUUGUGUUCCUAGGAGGAUUAUGCUGCCUCUGCUGUGUCAUGCAGGUUGUCAGGGAAGUGAGGGAAAGCUGGCAAUCACAGGCCUCACCCAGCUCCCACACAACCCAAAGGGCCAGUCUCACUCUCACCAUUCCCUGCUCAACAGCACUAAGUCUGUGUCCAGGCAGUGGACAAGCAGGGCUGAGAGCUUGCCCCAGGCUACCAGCCUCCCAGCUGUGAAAGCUGUGAACCCUUCGUGCUUCCCCACCUGUGGUCUGCACACAGGAUUCACGCCCUCCCUGUAGUUCUGGCCAGGAGACUUCUUGUUCAGUUGGAAUUGUUACGAAGUUCAGCUGGAGGCUUCCUUCUCCCUGUGGCCUUUUCCCAGUGCCUCUGGUAGCCCUCCCCAAUGACCCCUGGGAGGCAAGGCAGAAAUGGCUUGCUAGGGCACCCAGAGAGCCCACAGGGAUUUUCCCACUGCUUCUUCUACCCCUGCGUUUCACUCGGCUCUCUAAAUUGACUCAGCUCCAGGUAAUGUUAGAAUCUUCUCUGGUGAUCUAGAUCUUGAGGUUCCCCAGUGAGGUUGUGUGUUUGGGACUGAAUGAUGCCCCUUUCCCACUUCCAUAGUUUGGGCACUCACGGUAUUUGGGGUGUCUCCCAGGUCAUGCAGGAGCAAUUCACUUCCUUCAGAGGGUCUGUGGGUUCUCUUGGCUUUCCUGAUUUCUUCCUGCAGUCAUUCUGGAGCAAAAGUUCAUGAUGCAAUACUCCACAUGCUGCUCUGUCCGUCUGAGUGGGAGCUGCAAUCUAGGCCUGCCUCCUGUCUGCCAUGAUCCUCCCAGAGAGAUACUAGCUUUGACACUCGUCUAUGUGGACGAAAAAGCCACAGGACACUUUAAUUUCUAUUUUAGUAUUCCUCAUAUAUUUUCUGCAUUCAUUUACAUGUCUGCCUCCCCAGCAACUUCUUAUGGCACCAUGCUUUGUAAUUACCAUGUGCCGAGUGGCUACUAAGUGACUGAUAUUUAUAUGCUUUAUGUGGCUUAACUUACAUACUCUUCUGAGAAGCUGUUUAAAUUUCAUUCUCUCUUAUUUUCGUUUCCAGGUCUAGGAAAUGGAGGCAUAGUGAGAUAAAAUAAGUUGCUCAAAGCCAUAUGGCGAUUAAGACUUGAACUCUAAAAGUGUUUUAUUUUUAUUUUUAUUUAUUUAAUUAAUUUUUUUGAGACAGGGUCUUGCUCUGUUGCCCAGGCUGCUGUGCAGUGGUGCAAUCACAACUCACUGCAGCCUCAACCUCCUGAGCUCAAGGGAUCCUCCCAUCUCAGCCUCCCAAGUAGCUGGGACCACAGGAAGGUGCCACCAUGCCAGGCUAGUUUUUUAUUUUUUAGUAGAGAUGGGGGUCUCACUAGGUUGCCAAGGCUGGUCUUGAACUCCUGGGCUCAAGUAGUUCUUCUAUCUCAGCCUCCCAAAGUGCUGGGGUUACAGGCUUGAGCCACUGUGCCCAGCCUGUUUUAUUAAUCUCUAAGUGCCCUGCAUCUGCUCUAGGGAGUGUGGCAUAGUCCUUGAUAGUGGAUAACUGAGUGACGCAGGUAGUUUGUAUGAGAAGUGCAGUAACCACAUGGUGAAUGGAAGAUGAUGCUGUACACUUGCCUGGAGUUCAUAGCUGGGACACUGUGGUUACCAGGACACAGCUUCCAGAAUGGCUGACUAAACCUAGAAAAUGCAGACUCCGCUGGGUCUUUGUGUUUCUGUUUUUUAAACGGGAAAAUAAAUUCUGUCAUUUACUUUCAAAGAGUUAGUGGGAGUGACAUAAAAUUGUUGAUAAAAAUCUUUGGAAGUCUCAGUGAGGGGAUCUGCUAUAUUGAAAUAAUGAAAUAAUUGAUGAAAUUAUUUCAUUCGUAAACAGUCUAAGGGCCAAGGGAAGAGAAGAGUGACACAGACUCUCCUUUCCUUGAGAUCUUAGAAUCACGCCUGCCUCCUUACCUCCAUCCAGGACUGUUAAAAAACUCCCAAAGCAGGGACUUUCAGGCCCACAUGCACUUAGCCUCCUCUUCCCACCUCCUGUUCCUCUCCGUGUCUAAUGUUCCACUGCCAUCGCUGCCAGGAAGUUCUGCAGAGAAGAGUGAAGAAGAACCGUGUGAUCCUAAACAUGUUCUCUGAAGAUAUUAUCAACCCACCAUUGGCCUUAUUUACUGGAAUGUUUUUAUAACCUUCAUUUGACACCUCUUCCCAUCAUUUAAAAUAAAUCUGGUGCUUCCCUGAA
This is a long non-coding RNA of Homo sapiens (human), 6444 nucleotides long. RefSeq lists it as uncharacterized. NCBI's taxonomy places the organism in Eukaryota, Metazoa, Chordata, Mammalia, Primates, Hominidae. The transcript has 2 exons. The record is from RefSeq and is a predicted model, not a curated record.